CACACCCUGACAAUGGGAAAGGGAAGGCCAAACGAGUCACAGUCUGUCUGGAUCGCUGCUCUGAUCAUUUCAAAAUUAAGCAUGAAAAGUCUCACAGUCAAUCAACAAGAUUUGGCUACACCAUGUUUUGGGUGAACAAUGUGUGCAGAAUUUGAGCAAAACAAUGGAUUUUUGUAAGCUGCAAUCCCAGUCUAAAGGCUUUUUAUUCAAUGAGGUAUACACAUAAAGGGAUGGUGCUAUAAAUGGCAAGCUGGGAUAAGACAUCUUGGCGUGUGCUCACAGGCAAGUAGUGACAAAUGACAGACAUAUACAGUCUCAAGAGGAACAUCAGCUAACUGUGAUUGAACUGCAGUCCAUCCAUGUUCUAUACAGCUCAUCCUGUUUGGAGUUAUAAGAAACGUUGAGUCAAACCCAGCUGACAGCCAACUCCAUCCUGAAGUGAUCGCCUGUCAACCGCAGGCGAUUACGAACGUAGAAUUGAGCCUGCGCCAGCUGCAUGAAAGUGAGUGUGACUGUGACCCAUCAUAAUUUCACAUCAACUUGCUUCAAUUGAUGAGAAUUUUGAGGAUGGCACCAAUCAUUGUGCCUCAGAGUCAGCAUUUUGUCCAAACCACAGGUUUAAUGUAAACGCUGCGACACCGCAUUCCCCUUUCACCACCUCCACCGCUUCCCAGAGCCCCCGUCCACGAUGGGGUCGUGUUCGUCACCGCACAUCUGGACUGAUGUCGAACUGAUGGGAAGCUGCUAAUGAGAACCACAGAACUCAGAUCCUGUGUCUUCUCCUGUAUCACGUUUUUCGAUGAGCUCCAACAUGAGGACAAGUUGGAAGGGAAUCUAUCCGUCUGUGGCCUUUUCCCAUCCCCUCAGAUGCCGAGACUUUGACCAGCUGACAGAGGGGUCAAUGGAUGGAGGAUGCCUUGAGGAGAAUGUCAUCUGUUUUGUCACUAACAUCGUGCACUGUGCCCUGGCGCUGAACCAGUGCUCCGCAGAUUUUGACAUAAAGGUUUCAAACUGCAUCGCAGGCUUAUUUUUUUUGGCUUGAACUUCAUGUAUUUAAAGCAAGAGAAAAAGUCUUGCUCAAGGGCUCCCCCUAACAAUAAAACCAAAACACUGACAGCGUUUUGAAAUACAUGCUUUACACUCUACAGCAUUAUUUUUGAACAACAAAAACACACAAACAGGGGCAAUAAAUGGGCGUGCUGACAAA
Molecule: long non-coding RNA, 1207 nt
Organism: Hippocampus comes (tiger tail seahorse)
Lineage: Eukaryota; Metazoa; Chordata; Actinopteri; Syngnathiformes; Syngnathidae
Exons: 2
Source: RefSeq, a predicted model, not a curated record